UGUAGUCCCAGCUACUCGGGAGGCUG
Molecule: non-coding RNA, 26 nt
Filed under: Gallus gallus (chicken)
Lineage: Eukaryota; Metazoa; Chordata; Aves; Galliformes; Phasianidae
Also listed under: 5 other names
Source: RNAcentral